Molecule: long non-coding RNA, 2662 nt
Organism: Brachypodium distachyon (stiff brome)
Lineage: Eukaryota; Viridiplantae; Streptophyta; Magnoliopsida; Poales; Poaceae
Exons: 3
Source: RefSeq, a predicted model, not a curated record
CAUAAUGGCGGAAGAACAUUACCUCACAGGCCCCGCUUCGUCCCCACCUCCGGCUUCCGCCCCGCCGCGUUCUACCUUCCCGGCUGGUUCGCCGUGGACUGACGCCAUGGCCGCGCCCUCUUCGCCCCCUGUCCCACGACAAUCCGUCCCAUUCCCAAGGAGUUCUCGGUCCUCCUCGUCUGGGACCCCGUGACGGGCGACCGGCGCCACGUGCCCACGCCCAAAAUGGCCAUCGGUGUGAGAUUCGGAGCGGCCGUGCUGUGCGCCGCUCAAGGCUGCGACCACUCCGGUUGCCAAGGAGGGCCGUUCAGUGUGGCCAUCGUGGCCGUCGGUCCGGGCCGAGAGAUAUCCGCCUGCCUCUACUCUUCGGAGACGUCGGUCCGGGCCGAGAGAUAUCCGCCUGCCUCUACUCUUCGGAGACGUCGGUCCGGGCCGAGAGAUAUCCGCCUGCCUCUACUCUUCGGAGACUGGCACCUGGAGCCAACUAGCCUCAAUUCAGCACCCCCAUGACUACCCUUAUUACUGGGCCAAACAUAUGCGCAGCUUCCUUGUGGGAGAUGCAUUGUACUUCAUAAGCAUCAAGAACAAAAUCAUCGAGUACCGACUCGGUACCCGUCGCUUGUUGCUCUUCGAUUUGCUGCCUAACGGUAGGGCUAUGAUCUCUGGGAAGCUCGUGAUGGCAGAAGAUGGUGGGCUGGGAUUUGCUAACCCGGAUGGUGCAAAACUAACCCUGUGGUCGAGCCGUCGAGGGAGACCAGCCCCAACGGAGCUGUAGGAUGGGCACAACGCCCGGUAAUCAAUCUUGAAACACUACUCCCUCCUGGUGCCCUCUUGGUCCCGUUUGAGCCGCGCGUGGCUGCAGGGGUGUUUGGUUUCGCGGAGGGUACCCAAGUCAUUUUUGUCGGCUCAUGUGCAAGUGUUUACAUGGUUGACCUCAAGUCUGGGCGAGCAAGGAAGGUGCUUGAUCAGGGCACGGAAGUCUUUCCCUACAUGAGCUUUCCAGCAAUGGAAGCAGCUUGUACGGGCCAGGGGCAAUGAGUUGGUAUUGCAACUUUUGGCAAGGCCUAAUUGCUAGAGCAAAGGCUUAUGGAUCAAGGGAGAGGUGGUAGAGAUAUCACAAGUGUGGAUCUGGAUAUGUGAGAUUACAGCUAGUCUUAGUCUUGCUUUAUGGAACUUUAUUUAAGAGGUUGUUCUAUUUGGCAGCUUGCUUGUCGGUGUCGAGUUCUACAAGGGCUUAUAUAUGUAACCAAGCUAGUAAGCCCACCAUAUAUAAGUAUGUAACCCUCCUUGCUCUGUAGCUUGAAAUGUCAGCUUGCCACGAAAAACCAGUAUAAAUGCCUACUUUUGACUAAAGUUAUCUAGAGUGCAGCAAUUCUUAAUGGCGUAAUGUAUAUAUUAUGCAUUGAGUGACUCCUGCCUAAUUAGGUUUUACUCCAAUUUUUUCUGACAUAAAAAUGACAACAUACAGUUUCAAACUUAUUGAUUUAUUAUCAUGCAAAACUAGAUACCUUAUUUAUGUGUGAAUUUGAAGUACAUUAUGUUCCUGUGUUGCCUGCACUCUUAUCUUUUCAGGAACAGUAUGUUCCUAUGCUGUCUGCACUGUAUCUUUUCAGUUUUUUUACAAUGUGGAUAGAGUGACGAAUCCAUUAACCUGACUCUGCUAUUAAUUGUCAUAUGUCUUUUUCGCAAAAAAAAUAAAAAAUUGUUGUGUGUCUUGUGGAACCUUGGGGUGUUUCGAGUUGGGUCUUAUAAAUUUAGUAGACAGAAAGUAAUCAUGGUCAAGUAGAUCUUCUUCUCUUGGAUUAUUUGUGAUCUUGACACAGGAUCAACGCUUGAGGUUAGAUUAAAUUUCACUUAUUUAAGCUGAUGUUCAUUUAUGCUUGGGAAGGCAAAUUGGAGGUGAAAAUAUAAUGAGUUUCAUUACUGAAAUAAGGUUGUCCCAAGUUGCAGAUUCGGUCAUUUCUCGAAAGUAUUCAAAUUACGCUUAAAGUCUGAAUGGGCAUGGUUCUGACGUACUGAGAAAACUGAAGGAAUUCUUGGACAAGCAUGGAGCUGUGAACUGACAAGGAUUCAAAGUAAUAAUUUCAAUUGGUCGGUGCUCAAAACAUGACUCCACGCAAAAAUAAGGCUUGAACUCAGAAGUAACGCCAGAAACGUUUGGAGGAAUGUGGAACUAUGGUUGAAUCUGAAAUAGGUUUGGUGGUUUAUACUAUGAAGGAUGAAGCUUUAGAUGAUAUUUUUGGUUCAGUUGUAGCUGUUCUGUUCUAAUAUGAGCUUGGUGCCGAGGGUGCUGCUGUGUGCUGUGUGCUGUCGAAUCCAUUCGGCUAAGCUCCAGGUAGUCUGGUUGCGGAUUUAGGAGCCGGAGUUCUCCUGAAUGGAGCCUAUAUAGCUGGCUGCAAUAGUCUGAAGGUUGCACCAGGAAAGGCUUCAGGGAUACCCGAUGCUGACGGAGAACCUCAACAAGAGAUGCGAGGGAGAGCUAUUUUGUUUAAAGCUGAAGUUGGCCCUGGAAUGCAAAUGCCUAAAACAUCCUCGUACUGAACCUUCUUGGUGGAUUUCAUCUCUGUUUUAGAUAUCUGUACAUUUGGGUUGUCUUAAGUCAAACUUGGUCAUCGUUGGGACUACUGUUAAGUAUAUUUUCAUAUGCAUUUUUUUGGUAUUA